Non-coding RNA from Camellia sinensis, 2228 nucleotides. Lineage: Eukaryota; Viridiplantae; Streptophyta; Magnoliopsida; Ericales; Theaceae. The record is from RefSeq and is a predicted model, not a curated record.
UCCAACUCUUCAACUCCAAAACCCUAACCUCCUACUCAUCAUCAAAAAGAAAACCUAACUCUUCAAACCCAUACACGGUUACACUUCCUCUCUUUCCCCUCUGCCUCCGACACCACCGCCACUGCUACUGUGACUGUUGGGCCGCCGCCAUCACCUCUAUUACUGACCUCUCUCUCUCUCUCUCUCUCUCUCUCUCUCUUCUCGGCCUAUUGCUUUAGGACAUCAAUUUGCUUCCGGCGGCUUACUUCCCUCUACAUUUUUUUCUCUCUUCAUCUUCUCUUUCCUCACCAGAUCGAUGACAAUCUCCCCGCCCUUUACUCCUCUUCCAUGGCCGUCGCCGUCUUCACCCUCACAUCCACCGCACACCACCACCACCAUCGUCUUCACCAUCUUCGUGCCAUUCUCGGAUGACGACGAUAUGAGAUGUGAAGGCUUCAUAUCUGCUGGAUUUAUGGUAGAUCUAAGAUGUGAGGGCUCUUCCUCCGCUGCUACAACCACCGAACCAACGACCAAUCGAUCCAAGAACGGGUUGCAGCUGGAGCCUCAAUUACCUAAUUAGGUGGAAUUAUGUGACAUCAAGGCAUCAAUAAAGCAACAUAAAUGGGUGAAAGCCAAAGAUAAAUGAUACUGCAAGUCAUGAUGCCCCAUCUAGAGAAGGAAUGUACAAUUAUAAAUUGGUAUACGCGUGAGUCAUAGUUUCCCAUUUUUCUUUGUUUUUCAUUAUUGUCGGUGUACUGAAUAUCUUGAGGUGAACUAUUAUUUUUCAAGCCAUGUUGGAGCUAUUAUGUUCAGCAAAAUUAGUUGUAGAGAAGGGGAUUGCUCAAGGUCGUAAUGGGUCUUAUAUUAAGCAGUUAUCUGACUACAUUGUUCUAGCUUUUGGUGGAAGCUUUGCAUAAGGAGCCUGAUACAGAAAUAUGUGAAAGCAUGUUGGAUGCAUUGAAUAAUGCAUACAGGUAGGUGAAAUCAUGGGAACUUUGAUAAAAACAUUCAAGGCCUCUUUCUUGCCUUUAUUUGAUGAGCUGUCAUCAUAUAUUACGCCUAUGUCGACUCUCAUUUCCCCCAAAUCUGAUUUCACUCGAUCGUGUCUGAGUAAGAGAAUCUGAUUUCCUUCUCUCAAUUUCGCUCUAUAGAUCACCAUGGUCGUCUAAAGAAGAGACCUCCAACGGUGGGAGUUGUUUUCUCAUUGGGUAGCUGCAAUGGCCGUGCAAAACAACUUCAUGCUUCUCCUAAAGAAUCGAAGGAUGUAUGAGCUUGUCUCCCUGUCUACCAUCCUUAAAUUAAAAAGGCUUUCGGCUACUGCAGAACCCUACAAAGAAAGCUGCUAACUGCACUGAUAUGUGAAUACUUGGACAAGGCACAACUGGGCCACACACAAAAAGUUUAUCUGCCAGAGUGUAAUUUGGGAAUCAUGUACUGUCCAAUAUGUUGCCAAUUUUAUUACAAUAAUUCUUAUAUGUGUUUUAGUUUCCUUCUAAUUUUUCUUGCAAUGGAUUUGUAUUAAUUUUAACUUCAAUUGCAACAAAAGGAUUCCUGGAAAGCUGAGUUAAAAGAAUUUAGUAGCAACAAUGGAUAUGAUCUUAACAAGAACAGAGAUAGUGCCCCUUUGCUUUUGGAUGUUCUUGAAGGAUUCUUGAAGUAUGAGGUACCAACCAUCCUAUAAUGUUUCUCUCGGAAGGGAUUUGACUGUGGUUCGAAGAGAAGAUGGUUUUGGUGGUGAUGGUGCGGUUCUUUAGUGCAUGAAGUGGGGAUUCAUCCCAAGUUUCACUAAGAAAACUGAUAAACCCGAUCACUACAAGAUGGUACAGUUGUGCUUCAUUCUUAGCAUCUUUUGACUUCACAUGAGUAGUUGGUUAUGUUUGAUUGUGAAUGUCUCAACAAUUACUAUCCGAGGGAUGUAGCCCGGUGAUUACGGGCUUACUCCAAUCCAAUGUAAUUUGGUGAGUCUCUGGGGUGAUGCUCGGCUGAGACUAAUCCCUAUUAAACUUGGCCAAUGCCUCCUUAUCACUAUGUUCUCAGUGGGGUUGUCCAUCUUGAGAGUGGGUCCAUUAAGAUCCCUUUUGUCCGGCACUCGAGUGGGUAGGGAUUCCUAUGGUCACAACUCAGCCCACACGAGAGCUGCCACGUAAUGGUUGCCCCCUCUUAGCAUUUCUUGUCACAUAGCAAAAAAAAAAAACCCAACAAAUGUUUAUGCUAUUUGAAAGUCAAAUUGUUCAUUUUUAUUGUGUUUA